This 253-nucleotide ribosomal RNA is filed under the name uncultured bacterium. RNAcentral describes it as "partial 16S ribosomal RNA". It matches the Rfam family "Bacterial small subunit ribosomal RNA", at positions 524 to 776 of the family's 1533-position model. The record is from RNAcentral.
GGCAGAGGGUGCAAACGUUGUUCGGAAUUACUGGGCGUAAAGAGCGCGCAGGCGGUCGAUCAAGUCGAGUGUGAAAGCCCCCGGCUCAACUGGGGAGGGUCAUUCGAUACUGAUCGACUCGAAGGCAGGAGAGGGUAGUGGAAUUCCCGGUGUAGUGGUGAAAUGCGUAGAGAUCCGGAAGAACACCAGUGGCGAAGGCGGCCCGCUGGGCAGUGGCUGACGCUGAGGAGCGAAAGUGUGGGGAGCGAACAGG